This is a non-coding RNA of Pelobates cultripes (western spadefoot toad), 238 nucleotides long. Lineage: Eukaryota; Metazoa; Chordata; Amphibia; Anura; Pelobatidae. The record is from the annotation of a GenBank genome assembly.
GUGAGUCACAGCUAGGAUAGGUGUGGCUAUGACUGCAUAAACAGAAAUAAAAGGGAUUUAACUCCUAAAUGGCAGAUAAUUGAGCAGUAAUACUGCAGGUGCAUGAUCUAUACACAAAAACUGCUUCAUUAGGCUAAAGUUGUUUUGGAUAUCUAUUGUGUCCUUUUAAGAGGUGUGAUCCUAGAACCUACUUAGCAAUAACUAAUCUUUACACGGACAAGGGGACCAGCAUUUGGGG